This is a long non-coding RNA of Hyaena hyaena (striped hyena), 497 nucleotides long. RefSeq lists it as uncharacterized. The record is from RefSeq and is a predicted model, not a curated record. NCBI's taxonomy places the organism in Eukaryota, Metazoa, Chordata, Mammalia, Carnivora, Hyaenidae. The transcript is spliced from 2 exons.
UCCGGUCACACGCGCAGGAUUAUAGUUAAAGACGGUAGAAACCGUCACCCCAGAAGGCAUCCUUGAAAUUUGCUGAGUAGAUCUUAAGUGUUUUCCCCAAGAGCACAGGUGACACACCAACAGCUCUGGAGUCUAGCAGUUACAGAGGAAGUGGAGAGGAGAUGGGGUCAAGGGCAACCUCCCAGCGUGGAACUUGGUCUUGGUGAAUUUCCUGGCCUUUUCUUGAUGCUUCUGAGACAAGGGGCUGGCUUCCUGUUGAUCAUUCUGCAGUCCUGCUUUAGACUCCGAGUAGAGCAGAUCUGGCGUCACGUCUCAGUCUCUUUGUUUGCCCGUUUGAUUUGAUGGUAUUGCAAAACAUAUUUAGAAAUGUCCUAAUUUUAAGCCAUCCUCACAUCCCUGAGGUUAACUAACCUUGAGCAUGGUAGAUUGGUCUUCCAAUGUGCUGUUUAAAUGUUUUCUGGUACUUCAAUUACAGAUUUUUCCUCUCCAUUCCAAAA